UUAGCAAGUAUAACCCAACGAAAAGAAUUUUGUAGGAUACCCCGAAACCAAACGAGCUACCCAGUGGCAUUUAACGAAUUAACCCAACUCUGUAGCAAAAGAGUGGGAAGACCACCAGGUAGAGGUAAAACGCCUAACGAGUCUGGAUAUAGCUGGUUACUUGAGGAAUGAAUUUUAGUUCAACUAUAAGCAACUAUACCACAAAGGAACGCGCUUAUAAUAUAAUUAAUUAAGGUACAGCUUAAUUAAUAAAGGAAAUAACCUAUAUAAAUGAGUAAAGCUUAUAAUUAUUAAGGGAUUUUUUUUAUCAGUAGGCCUAAAAGCAGCCAUCAACAAAAAAGCGUUAAAGCUUACUACACCAACCAUCCAAAUAAAUUUACUAAACUCAUAUAAAAAAAUCAAGUUAAUCUAUUUAUAGAAAAAUUACUGCUAAAAUGAGUAACGGGGAAUUACCUCAUCAUACAUGUGUAAAUCGAAAUGAACCAAUCACCGAUAGUUAACGAACCUUUAUAAUGCAAGACUAUACCGCAUCGUUAACCCAACACAGGAGUAUUAAGAGAAGACUUAAAGUCUAGAAAGGAACUCGGC
Molecule: ribosomal RNA, 588 nt
Filed under: Bradytriton silus (Finca Chiblac salamander)
Lineage: Eukaryota; Metazoa; Chordata; Amphibia; Caudata; Plethodontidae
Description: partial 16S ribosomal RNA
Rfam family: Bacterial large subunit ribosomal RNA (bases 41-156)
Source: RNAcentral